RNAcentral lists this ribosomal RNA (253 nucleotides) under uncultured bacterium. Its description in RNAcentral is "partial 16S ribosomal RNA". It matches the Rfam family "Bacterial small subunit ribosomal RNA", at positions 524 to 776 of the family's 1533-position model. The record is from RNAcentral.
UACGUAGGGCGCAAGCGUUAUCCGGAAUUAUUGGGCGUAAAGAGCUCGUAGGCGGUUUGUCGCGUCUGCCGUGAAAGUCCGGGGCUCAACUCCGGAUCUGCGGUGGGUACGGGCAGACUAGAGUGAUGUAGGGGAGACUGGAAUUCCUGGUGUAGCGGUGAAAUGCGCAGAUAUCAGGAGGAACACCGAUGGCGAAGGCGGCUUUCUGGCCUGUAACUGACGCUGAGGCGCGAAGGCUGGGGUAGCGAACAGG